RNAcentral lists this long non-coding RNA (230 nucleotides) under Capsicum annuum. RNAcentral describes it as "long non-coding RNA (CANN_LNC005448)". The record is from RNAcentral. Lineage: Eukaryota; Viridiplantae; Streptophyta; Magnoliopsida; Solanales; Solanaceae.
CCCCUACUACUCCACUGAUUCUCAUCCAGGCACCUCAACUUGAUCAAAGUAAGUCUUCUAAAUGCCUCUAAUGAAUGUGUGUUCCUCACUUGCUCUGAAGUGGACGACAUAUUAAAUCCACCUCACUCGCCACAUUAAAAUAAGAUAAAAAAGUGGAAAAAAGGUCAAAGUUUUAAAAAUGAUUCUAAAAAAGAAAAUAUCCACUCCACUUCUCAUUUUCUCUCUUUCUC